Molecule: long non-coding RNA, 825 nt
Organism: Oncorhynchus tshawytscha (Chinook salmon)
Lineage: Eukaryota; Metazoa; Chordata; Actinopteri; Salmoniformes; Salmonidae
Source: Ensembl
GGAAAAGGCUAAAGGGAUGAGGUGGGGUUAGUAGGACAAGGCUAAAGGGAUGAGGUGGGGGAGUAGGACAAGGCUAAAUGAAUGAGGUGGGGGAGUAGGACAAGGCUAGAGGAAUGAUGUGGGGGAGUAGGACAAGGCUAAAUGAAUGAGGUGGGGGAGUAGGAAAAGGCUAAAGGGAUGAGGUGGUGGAGUAGGAAAAGGCUAGAGGAAUGAGGUGGGGGAGUAGGACAAGGCUAAAGGGAUGAGGUGGUGGAGUAGGAAAAGGCUAAAGGGAUGAGGUGGGGUUAGUAGGACAAGGCUAAAGGAAUGAGGUGGGGGAGUAGGACAAGGCUAGAGGAAUGAGGUGGUGGAGUAGGACAAGGCUAAAUGAAUGAGGUGGGGGAGUAGGACAAGGCUAGAGGAAUGAGGUGGGGUAGUAGGACAACGCUAAAGGAAUAAGGUGGGGGAGUAGCACAAGGCUAAAGGAAUGAGGUGGGGGAGUAGGACAAGGAUAAAGGAAGGAGGUGGGACAGUAGGGCAAGGCUAAAGGGAUGAGGUGGGGGAGUAGGGCAAGGCUAAAGGGAUGAGGUGGGAAAGUAGGGCAAGGCCAAAGGGAUGAGGUGGGACAGUAGGGCAAGGCUAAAGGGAUGAGGUGGGGGAGUAGGGCAAGACUAAAGGGAUGAGGUGGAGGAGUCAGUGCGACAGGUUUAAUCCCCUCCUCUAUCUCCAUCCACAACACCCUAGCAAGCUGCAAGCCUACUAGAUGGUAAUAGGCACUCAAGUUGCCCCUAGGGGACGGUCUUGAAGGCAUCUCCCGACAUCCUACGGACCUGGGCAAACGUUGAA